RNAcentral lists this ribosomal RNA (99 nucleotides) under uncultured bacterium. RNAcentral's name for it is "partial 16S ribosomal RNA". It matches the Rfam family "Bacterial small subunit ribosomal RNA", at positions 1386 to 1482 of the family's 1533-position model. The record is from RNAcentral.
CACACCGCCCGUCACAUCAUGGGAGUUGGUUUUACCCGAAGCCGCUGGCCUAACCCGCAAGGGAGGGAGGCGUCGAAGGUGAGGCUGAUGACUGGGAUG